This 492-nucleotide ribosomal RNA is filed under the name uncultured bacterium. RNAcentral describes it as "partial 16S ribosomal RNA". It matches the Rfam family "Bacterial small subunit ribosomal RNA", at positions 29 to 507 of the family's 1533-position model. The record is from RNAcentral.
AGUGAACGCUGGCGGUAGGCCUAACACAUGCAAGUCGAACGGCAGCACAGUAAGAGCUUGCCCUUACGGGUGGCGAGUGGCGGACGGGGGAGGAAUACACCGGAAUCUACUUUUUCGUGGGGGAAAACGUAGGGAAACUUACGCUAAUACCGCAUACGACCUACGGGUGAAAGCAGGGGAUCUUCGGACCUUGCGCGAUUGUAUGAGCCGAUGUCGGAUUCGCUGGUUGGCGGGGUAAAGGCCCACCAAGGCGGCGAUCCGUAGCUGGUCUGAGAGGACGGACCGCCUCCCUUGAACUGAGGACCGGUCCAGGCUCCCACGGGGAGCCGCCGUUGGGAAUAUUGGACAAUGGGCGCAAGCCUGAUCCAGCCAUACCGCGUGGGUGAAGAAGGCCUUCGGGUUGUAAAGCCCUUUUGUUGGGAAAGAAAAGCAGCAGGUUAAUACCCCGCUGUUCUGACGGUACCCAAAGAAUAAGCACCGGCUAACUUCGUG